AUACGUAGGGAGCGAGCGUUGUCCGGACUUACUGGGCGUAAAGGGCGCGUAGGCGGCGCUUCAAGUCGUCUGUCAAAUGGGAGGGCUUAACCCUUUUUCGCAGACGAAACUGGAGAGCUUGAGAAGCAGAGAGGCAAACAGACUUCCUGGUGUAGCGGUGAAAUGCGUAGAGAUUGGGAGGAAAACCCGUGGCGAAUGGGACUUACUGGACUGUAACUGACGCUGAGGCGCGAAAGUGUGGGGAGCAAACAGGAUUAGAUACCCUGGUAGUCCACACUGUAAACGAUGAAUGCUAGGUGUAGGGGGUAUCGACCCCUUCUGUGCCGCAGUUAACACAAUAAGCAUUCCGCCUGGGGAGUACGGCCGCAAGGUUGAAACUCAAAGGAAUUGACGGGG
Molecule: ribosomal RNA, 396 nt
Filed under: uncultured bacterium
Lineage: Bacteria
Description: partial 16S ribosomal RNA
Rfam family: Bacterial small subunit ribosomal RNA
Source: RNAcentral